GAAGAUUUAGUUAAAAUAUAACAUUAGCUUGUCAAACUAAAAUUAUUUAAGUUAAAAUAAUCUUUG
RNAcentral lists this transfer RNA (66 nucleotides) under Luperus sp. EMHAU-15070805. RNAcentral describes it as "tRNA-Asp". Lineage: Eukaryota; Metazoa; Arthropoda; Insecta; Coleoptera; Chrysomelidae. The record is from RNAcentral.